This 253-nucleotide ribosomal RNA is filed under the name uncultured bacterium. RNAcentral's name for it is "partial 16S ribosomal RNA". It matches the Rfam family "Bacterial small subunit ribosomal RNA", at positions 524 to 776 of the family's 1533-position model. The record is from RNAcentral.
GACAGAGGCCUCGAGCGUUAGGCGGAAUCACUGGGCUUAAAGCGUGUGUAGGCGGAUCGUUAAGUACCUUGUGAAAUCCCACGGCUCAACCGUGGAACGGCUGGGUAUACUGGCGGUCUUGGGCCAUUCAGGGGCGACUGGAACAAACGGUGGAGCGGUGAAAUGCGUAGAUAUCGUUUGGAACGCCAAUGGUGAAAACAGGUCGCUGGGAGUGUGCUGACGCUGAGACACGAAAGCCAGGGGAGCGAACGGG